This 1442-nucleotide ribosomal RNA is filed under the name Enterobacter sp. RNAcentral describes it as "bacterial SSU rRNA". The record is from RNAcentral. Lineage: Bacteria; Pseudomonadati; Pseudomonadota; Gammaproteobacteria; Enterobacterales; Enterobacteriaceae.
CGGGGGGCGGCUACAAUGCAGUCGAGCGGUAACAUGAAGCACCUUGCUGCUUCGCUGACGAGUGGCGGACGGGUGAGUAAUGUCUGGGAAACUGCCUGAUGGAGGGGGAUAACUACUGGAAACGGUAGCUAAUACCGCAUAACGUCGCAAGACCAAAGAGGGGGACCUUCGGGCCUCUUGCCAUCGGAUGUGCCCAGAUGGGAUUAGCUAGUAGGUGGGGUAACGGCUCACCUAGGCGACGAUCCCUAGCUGGUCUGAGAGGAUGACCAGCCACACUGGAACUGAGACACGGUCCAGACUCCUACGGGAGGCAGCAGUGGGGAAUAUUGCACAAUGGGCGCAAGCCUGAUGCAGCCAUGCCGCGUGUAUGAAGAAGGCCUUCGGGUUGUAAAGUACUUUCAGCGGGGAGGAAGGCGAUAAGGUUAAUAACCUUGUCGAUUGACGUUACCCGCAGAAGAAGCACCGGCUAACUCYKKSCMMSMAGCCGCGKUAAUACKGARGUGGUGCAACGCGUUAAUCGGAAUUACUGGGCGUAAAGCGCACGCAGSCGGUCUGUCAAGUCGGAUGUGAAAUCCCCGGGCUCAACSUGGGAASUGCAUUSGAAACUGGCAGGCUAGAGUCWURUAGAGGGRGGUAGAAUUCCAGGUGUAGCGGUGAAAUGCGUAGAGAUCUGGAGGAAUACCGGUGGSGAAGGCGGCCYCYUGGACAAAGACUGACGCUCARGUGCGAAAGCGUGGGGAGCAAACAGGAUUAGAUACCYUGGUAGUCCACGCCGUAAACGAUGUCGACUUGGAGGUUGUGCCCUUGAGGCGUGGCUUCCGGAGCUAACGCGUUAAGUCGACCGCCUGGGGAGUACGGCCGCAAGGUUAAAACUCAAAUGAAUUGACGGGGGCCCGCACAAGCGGUGGAGCAUGUGGUUUAAUUCGAUGCAACGCGAAGAACCUUACCUACUCUUGACAUCCUGAGAACUUUCCAGAGAUGGUUUGGUGCCUUCGGGAACUGUGAGACAGGUGGUGCAUGGCUGUCGUCAGCUCGUGUUGUGAAAUGUUGGGUUAAGUCCCGCAACGAGCGCAACCCUUAUCCUUUGUUGCCAGCGGUCAGGCCGGGAAUUCAAAGGAGACUGCCAGUGAUAAACUGGAGGAAGGUGGGGAUGACGUCAAGUCAUCAUGGCCCUUACGAGUAGGGUUACACACGUGUUACAAUGGCGCAUACAAAGAGAAGCGACCUCGGGAGAGCAAGCGGACCUCAUAAAGUGCGUCGUAGUCCGGAUUGGAGUUUGCAACUGGACUCCAUGAAGUCGGAAUCGCUAGUAAUCGUGGAUCAGAAUGCCACGGUGAAUACGUUCCCGGGCCUUGUACACACCGCCCGUCACACCAUGGGAGUGGGUCCAAAAGAAGUAGGUAGCUUAACCUUCGGGAGGGCGCUACGCACGGUGAUACGUG